UACGUAGGGACCAAGCGUUGUUCGGAUUUACUGGGCGUAAAGGGCGCGUAGGCGGCGUGGUAAGUCACUUGUGAAAUCUCUGAGCUUAACUCAGAACGGUCAAGUGAUACUGCUGUGCUAGAGUGCAGAAGGGGCAAUCGGAAUUCUUGGUGUAGCGGUGAAAUGCGUAGAUAUCAAGAGGAACACCUGAGGUGAAGACGGGUUGCUGGGCUGACACUGACGCUGAAGCGCGAAAGCCAGGGGAGCGAACGGG
RNAcentral lists this ribosomal RNA (253 nucleotides) under uncultured bacterium. RNAcentral describes it as "partial 16S ribosomal RNA". It matches the Rfam family "Bacterial small subunit ribosomal RNA", at positions 524 to 776 of the family's 1533-position model. The record is from RNAcentral.